GAUGAACGCUGGCGGCGUGCCUAAUACAUGCAAGUCGAACGAAACUUCUUUAUCACCGAGUGCCUGCACUCACCGAUAAAGAGUUGAGUGGCGAACGGGUGAGUAACACGUGGGCAACCUGCCCAAAAGAGGGGGAUAACACUUGGAAACAGGUGCUAAUACCGCAUAACCAUAGUUACCGCACGGUAACUAUGUAAAAGGUGGCUAUACUACCGCUUUUGGAUGGGCCCGCGGCGCAUUAGCUAGUUGGUAGGGUAAAGGCUUACCAAGGCAAUGAUGCGUAGCCGAAUUGAGAGGUUGAUCGGCCACAUUGGGACUGAGACACGGCCCAAACUCCUACGGGAGGCAGCAGUAGGGAAUCUUCCACAAUGGGCGAAAGCCUGAUGGAGCAACGCCGCGUGGGUGAAGAAGGUCUUCGGAUCGUAAAACCCUGUUGUUAGAGAAGAAAGUGCGUGAGAGUAACUGUUCACGUUUCGACGGUAUCUAACCAGAAAGCCACGGCUAACUACGUG
RNAcentral lists this ribosomal RNA (512 nucleotides) under uncultured bacterium. Its description in RNAcentral is "partial 16S ribosomal RNA". It matches the Rfam family "Bacterial small subunit ribosomal RNA", at positions 28 to 507 of the family's 1533-position model. The record is from RNAcentral.